Molecule: ribosomal RNA, 253 nt
Filed under: uncultured bacterium
Lineage: Bacteria
Description: partial 16S ribosomal RNA
Rfam family: Bacterial small subunit ribosomal RNA
Source: RNAcentral
UACGAGAGGCGCAAACGUUAUUCGGAAUUACUGGGCUUAAAGAGUUCGUAGGCGGCGCAGAAAGUAGGGUGUGAAAGCCCUCGGCUUAACCGAGGAAUUGCGCUCUAAACUACUGUGCUUGAGGGACCUAGAGGUGAGCGGAACUGAUGGUGGAGCGGUGAAAUGCGUAGAGAUCCGGAGGAACCCCAGAGGCGAAGGCGGCGCCCUGGCUCGCAACUGACGCUCAGACACGACAGCAUGGGGAGCGAACGGG